Molecule: long non-coding RNA, 2000 nt
Organism: Vespula vulgaris
Lineage: Eukaryota; Metazoa; Arthropoda; Insecta; Hymenoptera; Vespidae
Exons: 3
Source: RefSeq, a predicted model, not a curated record
UCUAUCUAUGUACGGUAUAUUCAUCGGUAGAUUUAUUUCGUACCGUCUUCUGAACGUUCUGGAUCGUAUAGUUUGGUCGAUACUAGAAUCCUGUGAUAAAAGCAAAAUGUUUGCUCUCCAGAAGACUGUUGGAAGCGCAAGAUUGGCGAAACAGAUCGUACAACAGCGAAGAACCGUUGUUGAUUUACCUCCUUCCGUCAAAGUAUCAUUUAUUGAAAAGUUACUCGGUGGAGUGGCAAUUACCGUCUCGAUACUAGGAAUACCUACGUACGUUUCGUGUAACAUAAAGAAUUAUAAGAAGAAUUAAGAUGAGAAUGUAAUUACAUCUAUAGUUACAAAGUAUCUGCUUUAACGAUGCUGUUACUUAGGAUUAUUGUAAGAUAAUAUAUUUAAUAAUUUAAGAACCAUUAAGGUAUACCUCUAUAUUUAAGACAAAGUUCUUACUUGAUUUUCUCCUCUAAUUGAUUUUAACGCGUUGAUACGAAAUAUCUAAUUCUGACGUCAUUGUUUUCUUUUAUUUUUAUUUUUAUUGAAAUUUCAAGAGAAUCAUUGAAGACGUUAUCAGUUAUUAUAUUCAGAGGGAAAUAGCAGUAACGUGUGAAAGGAUGCGAUAUAUAAAUUUGUGAUAGGAAUAAAAAUACAAUAACACAAAUUUUCAUAUCGUCUUUUACGACACGGAGAUACGAUGAUAUCACGUAAAGCAUAAUUUUUGAAAAAAGAUAUCAAUUUCUCUUUUAUUCGUUUUUGCUUAAAACGAUUAAGCGUUACAAAAUUUCUUAAAUGAAAUUAUAGAUGCGGAUAAAUGGGAUCGAUGAUAACAUUCGUAGAUUCGAUGAUAUUUAUUUAUGAUCAGUAAACAAUUAAAAAAUUCGUCGAACGUUGCGCCAUUUUAUUUAGAUAGAAGCGGAAUAUGGUGAAGAGAGAAAAGAGAAAGGGGGAAAAAAAAUAAAACAAAAACAAACAAACGAAAAAGAAAAAAAAAAUAAUAAUAAGGCUAAGGACGUCGAUUUUUAUGAGAUUAUCGAAACAUAUUAUCAGGGACAUAAAUUAUGUUUCAAAAACGUGUCGUCUAUUGUGACGAAUAUGUUGUUUACGUCUUUUCAAACAAGUUGCACAACAUUUUUCUCGUACGAUCGAGGAAACGUCGCAUAUCCGUCUGUAAGUAGCACACAUCGACGAAGGUAUUAUACUGUCCUUGCAAUCUACGAAGAGAGAAACGAAGAUUAAUAUCAUCGAUAUAUAUCAUUCUCGAAUGAAAUAAAUAUAAUUACCAUUCUUCUCGUUGGUACAAUGUUUUCUAUAAUAACAUCGUCUAUUACCAAUUGGUUUUCUUUCGUAAUUACAAUCGUCCGACAAUAAGUUCGUUGUUCGAUCACGACACUCGACUUCCCUGCUUCUUAUACCAUAUUUUACGAGACAAGUUGCAUUGCAGGCUCCCCAAGUCCCUGAGAACAUUAAAACGUUAUGGAAGAGAUUCGCAAUAUUAAUGAUUACUACUAAUUAUAGUACGUUAUGUCAUAACGAUUAUUAAAACUACUUUUCGUCACGAAGACAUAAAAUCAUUUGUCGGUUUGAGAUUAUAAGGGAUAAGAUGUAACGACAAUAGUAUCGUUGUACGUAAUAUUAAUUGCAAGGAAUAUUUAACAUUUUUUUUUACUAUCAUGAUGUUUUUUUUUUUUCAAUUACAAUCAUCUGUGAUGGACAGUUCUUUUUUUUCUUUCUUUUUUUUUCUUUUUUUUUUCAAGCGAACGCAGAAGACGACCAUCAUCAUAGUAUUACGUACGAUUAGCACCUUACCGACGAUCCACUUUCCCUCGUGACAAUCCUCCACGCUGAUCGGCUUGUCAUCCAAAUUACAAUCUCCUGGACUCGAACAAGUGACCUUUCUACUUCUCUUUCCGAUCUCUGGUUCCGCAGUGGUCAGACCAUCGACCAACGUGAUACCAUCGUGAUCGUUUGAACUGACAUUGUAAAAGGAUGCAUCUUUGUUUUCCGUGUAG